This is a long non-coding RNA of Macadamia integrifolia, 1808 nucleotides long. RefSeq lists it as uncharacterized. The record is from RefSeq and is a predicted model, not a curated record. The transcript is spliced from 2 exons. Lineage: Eukaryota; Viridiplantae; Streptophyta; Magnoliopsida; Proteales; Proteaceae.
UCAAAUCCCAACUAUAGCACGACCAGCCCAAAUGAAUCAAACUCUCCUUGAGACUUGCAAAGAAGAGAUUAAUGAUCUCUUGGCUAAAAAGCUCAUCCAUGAAAUUAGUUUAAUGAUUUAGGAUUUACUUGGGAAAAGGUUUAGUUGUUAUGGUUGUUGUUGGUUGAAUGAUUUAGGAAAUGGCUUGAGUUUCAAGACAUUUUUUGUUGAUAGGUAGGGAGGGGAAGUAAAUAUUAGCCAGGAGAUCCCCUAGUGAGUGUGGGCUUUUUGUUCACCAUAGCUCACCAACUGCACUAGGAAAUCAUCGUUAUAUUUUCUUAAAUAUGAACAUGAUACGUGAAGCCCAGGUUUUUAGACUGAAUAAGUAAUCUUUUCAUAAUUUUUAAGAUGAUUAAAAAAUAUUUAAUUUAGUUAUUAUUUCAUGAAAGUUUCUAUUUUAAAUCUUAUGCGGGUCCAUUAUCGGAGUAUUUUGUCCAAGAGAGAUCUUAAAUUGCAAAAUCUUAAGCUAGCUUUCAAAUAUGAUACUCUAAAGAAAUUCGGAUUUAUUAAUUUGGACUAGAUCUAACCCGGCUCAAUUUGAACCUCUACCGUCGUUAGCGGUCCCAGCAGGUUUGGGGUUUGGAAGAAACGACCAAGGAUGUCCCUGCAGUUUUGAAAAGACCAAGUGGCUUCGAAUUUGUACAUGAACAAGUUUCCCAAUGGCUGGAUAACGAGGACAAAUUGGUAAAUGUCACAUUAUAUCACUUUUCACUGGCUUGAACACCCUUGAAACCCUGCACAUUGGCUUCAUUCCCACUACGACUCGUCAAUCGUCAUUUCAGAAUCGACCCAGAAAUCAUGGAGGAAAGAAGCUAUUCUCUCUCGCUCUCUUCUCUUCUCCCUCACACUAUGCCGCUCCGGUAUCUUCCCUUCUCUAUUUCACUAUCUCUCACUCUCUAUAUAUCUCCCGCCCAACGCAAGGUCUGCAUUAGGGAAGGGGCAAGUCAUCUUCCAUAGAGCUCCUCCAUCGCUGCGUCUUGAAGAUCCUUCUCAGAUGGCCCCAAACUAAUGCCUGAAGCCUCUCAAUUUUCAAACACAUCAUGGAUCGCCUGAAGCUUCUCAUCUCUUCCCUUCGAUGGUGGUUUCUUCUAAUCUUCAAGCGCAAGGUCCUCUCAGUUGCAGCCUCGUUAGAGGCCAGGUUUUGAUGAGGUUGUUAGGAACCUCACUCGAUCCUAGUUUCAGCCUCGUUAGAGGCCAGGUUUAUGAGUUCUUGAAUUUCUCAAACUUAACCUAGUUCUCUAGCCUCUGAAGAUUUGCCUGCUACAAGAUUCCAAUCGCUGCUGUCACGGAUUGGUCUUCAAUCUGCAUGAUUUGCACAUCUUUCCUAUGGUCCUUGGUGAGGUGUAAAGGCCAUAACUGCCCUCAUGAAGGGAGGAUGCAAAUGAGGUCAUACAAGUGGAAGUUUAGGGAGGAGUUUGAGGGGGCAGUGCUUGAGAGACACUCAGCACCAGGGGUUGCAUAUGAUAGUGAAAAGAAUACGCCUGCUGAUGUGGAGACAGAAGCAGAGGCGAGAGAGACAUUUCAUGCUAAGGCAGCCAACAAAAUUGCACAUUGGCAGGAGCAGGAUAAAGGCAGGGAGUUCAAGGAGCUGGUUCUUCAAGCAUACUAUGACAUGGCCAUCUUUGUGAGAUAGAGGAAUGGUUCCGUUGGCGGCAACAAUCUUCUAGAGGUUUUGAGCCUCCUCGAAAAUCUAUGUGGUAUUGACAUUGGUGUACUGUUAAAUGGUUAUUCUUCUUCUUCAUUCUUAAUACACAUUUCAAUUUCUUUUA